GGGAAUGAAGAUGAUGGAAUAAUGGUGAUGGCAGAAGGUGGCGGAGGGAAGAUAUGCACAAUACCAUAUUCGUUUACGAAUUGCAACGACGAUAAGUGCAAAGCUUCAUGUGUGGAUCAAAACAAAGGCACUUACGGCCAAUGCUCUGGCUCUACAAUUUGUCUUUGCUUUAAACCAUGUUGAUAAUUAGUAAUUAACUCAAAAUUAAUUACUAUUCAUAUAUAUUUAUAUAUACAUAUAUGUAUUUAACUACAAUAAAUGGUAUUUAGUUAUCAUAAAACUUAUUUUUUCCGGU
RNAcentral lists this long non-coding RNA (295 nucleotides) under Carica papaya (papaya). RNAcentral describes it as "long non-coding RNA (CPAP_LNC003743)". The record is from RNAcentral. Lineage: Eukaryota; Viridiplantae; Streptophyta; Magnoliopsida; Brassicales; Caricaceae.